AAAUUUCAUGAAGUUACUAGUAAUAAUUAUAUUUUUAGGUAAUUUUGUCCUGAACACUGGAAUAAGGACAUACAAAAAGACAUACGGAACAAAAGAAAAAUAUGACAGAGUUUGUCCUUGUGGGGCUCACUCAGAGCCCCCAGAGACAGAAAAUAUUAUUUGUUGUGUUCUUGCUCAUCUACCUUGUGACAAUGGUAGGUGACAUACUCAUUGUUGUAACUGUGGUGGUCAGCCCAACUUUGGAUGCCCCUAUGUACUUCUUCCUUGGGUACUUAUCAUUAAUGGAUGCUGUUUAGUCCUCAGGUGAAGCAGCUUGUUUUGGUUCCAUAUUUAUAUAAAAAUGAUCCAUUGAUCUUCCCAGAUGUUUAGAAUAUCUGAUAAUACCUCUGCUAUUUUCAAUACCCCCUUCUCAUGGCCUUCUAAAAAACAGCCAGGCUCUGCUUUUUAUAUGUAAAAUCAGCAUAAUCCAUAAUCUAUGAACUUCAAAUAUGCAAUGCAGAGCCUGAUAGCAAAUAUUUUGGAAUACACCAUUGUCACAAAAGAUAGACAGGUGUGGUGGUGCAUGUCUGUGGUUCCAGCUGCUCAGGAGGCUGAGGUUGGAGGAGUUUUUGAGCCCAGGAGGUCAAGACUGC
This 632-nucleotide long non-coding RNA is filed under the name Homo sapiens (human). RNAcentral's name for it is "non-protein coding lnc-OR4C12-5:1". Lineage: Eukaryota; Metazoa; Chordata; Mammalia; Primates; Hominidae. The record is from RNAcentral.